GGAACCCAGCCGUGCUGGUACCCUGAUCUCUGACUUCCAGCCUCCAGAACUGUGAGAAAAUAAACUUCUGCUGUUUAAGACACCAAACCUAUGGUAUUUUGUUACAGCAGCCCAAGCUGACUAAAUAUCUACGGACUAAACUCUGGUUCUAAGAAACAUAUUAAGAUGUAUCUGGGGAGCUUUGCAAGUUUGUCCUCUGUGUCAGUAUCUAAAGGAGGGCUACCGUGAUCUCAGUUCUCGGAUGGUUCCAAGAAGAGAAGAAAACUUCAUGCCUGGUUAGCAGGGGAAUUGGAACACAGCCCAGCUGCAGGAUGGAAAACAAGCAAGGGGCUGAAAUGACAGUCAAGUGUGUUAUGCCUAGGUGUAAGGGACUGGUGCACGAGCUCAAAUCGUGAGUCUGACCUGUCAGUGUAGCAUGGUGGGAUGGGCCAACACGAGUGUCCUUUUGUAAGGAUCCAGGAGCUUUCCGGAGGAGCCCAUCGACCUCCUGGGGAGGGAGGCCAUGCGGAGAAGUGAUUCAGAGGACACAUCUGCUGGGACCAGUCAUGUUACAGAGAUGCUAAUACAACUGAAAGGACUGUUUCCCCAGAGUAUAAGCGCCUCUGUUUCUCCUUCCAGCACCCCGUGUAGUUCAGGCACAUCAUAGCAUAGUAAUCCCCCAUUCCAUUCUCCCAUCCUUGUGACACUGAUGGCAUCCAUGUCACUUCUUUGUACAAGCACACAAUACAUUAUGUUACUGUUUCAAACAGUUGUCUUUUAGAGCAAUUAAGAAUGAAAAAAUAAAAUAUUUUAUCUUGCCUUUA
Long non-coding RNA from Felis catus (domestic cat), 803 nucleotides. RefSeq lists it as uncharacterized. The transcript has 2 exons. NCBI's taxonomy places the organism in Eukaryota, Metazoa, Chordata, Mammalia, Carnivora, Felidae. The record is from RefSeq and is a predicted model, not a curated record.